Molecule: transfer RNA, 73 nt
Filed under: Stegodyphus mimosarum
Lineage: Eukaryota; Metazoa; Arthropoda; Arachnida; Araneae; Eresidae
Rfam family: tRNA
About the family: Transfer RNA (tRNA) molecules are approximately 80 nucleotides in length. Their secondary structure includes four short double-helical elements and three loops (D, anti-codon, and T loops).
Source: Rfam by way of RNAcentral
GCCUUCGUGGUGUAGUGGUCAGCACGCUCGGCGCGUAUUCGAGAGGUCCGUGGUUCGAGUCCCCGCGAGCGCA